This 465-nucleotide ribosomal RNA is filed under the name Vreelandella stevensii. Its description in RNAcentral is "partial 16S ribosomal RNA". It matches the Rfam family "Bacterial small subunit ribosomal RNA", at positions 338 to 795 of the family's 1533-position model. The record is from RNAcentral. Lineage: Bacteria; Pseudomonadati; Pseudomonadota; Gammaproteobacteria; Oceanospirillales; Halomonadaceae.
CCUACGGGGGGCAGCAGUGGGGAAUAUUGGACAAUGGUGGCAACCCUGAUCCAGCCAUGCCGCGUGUGUGAAGAAGGCCCUCGGGUUGUAAAGCACUUUCAGUGAGGAAGAACGCCUGGUGGUUAAUACCCAUCAGGAAAGACAUCACUCACAGAAGAAGCACCGGCUAACUCCGUGCCAGCAGCCGCGGUAAUACGGAGGGUGCGAGCGUUAAUCGGAAUUACUGGGCGUAAAGCGCGCGUAGGUGGCUUGAUAAGCCGGUUGUGAAAGCCCCGGGCUCAACCUGGGAACGGCAUCCGGAACUGUCAAGCUAGAGUGCAGGAGAGGAAGGUAGAAUUCCCGGUGUAGCGGUGAAAUGCGUAGAGAUCGGGAGGAAUACCAGUGGCGAAGGCGGCCUUCUGGACUGACACUGACACUGAGGUGCGAAAGCGUGGGUAGCAAACAGGAUUAGAUACCCUGGUAGUC